UACGAAGGGGGCUAGCGUUGUUCGGAAUUACUGGGCGUAAAGCGCACGUAGGCGGAUAUUUAAGUCAGGUGUGAAAUCCCAGAGCUCAACUCUGGAACUGCCUUUGAUACUGGGUAUCUCGAGUAUGGAAGAGGUGAGUGGAAUUCCGAGUGUAGAGGUGAAAUUCGUAGAUAUUCGGAGGAACACCAGUGGCGAAGGCGGCUCACUGGUCCAUUACUGACGCUGAGGUGCGAAAGCGUGGGGAGCAAACAGG
RNAcentral lists this ribosomal RNA (253 nucleotides) under uncultured bacterium. RNAcentral describes it as "partial 16S ribosomal RNA". It matches the Rfam family "Bacterial small subunit ribosomal RNA", at positions 524 to 776 of the family's 1533-position model. The record is from RNAcentral.